CCUACGGGAGGCAGCAGUGAGGAAUAUUGGUCAAUGGGCGUAAGCCUGAACCAGCCAAGUCGCGUGAGGGAUGAAGGUUCUAUGGAUCGUAAACCUCUUUUAUAAGGGAAUAAAGUGCGGGACGUGUCCCGUUUUGUAUGUACCUUAUGAAUAAGGAUCGGCUAACUCCGUGCCAGCAGCCGCGGUAAUACGGAGGAUCCGAGCGUUAUCCGGAUUUAUUGGGUUUAAAGGGUGCGUAGGCGGCCUUUUAAGUCAGCGGUGAAAUUCGGUGGCUCAACCAUAGAAUUGCCGUUGAAACUGGGAGGCUUGAGUAUGUUUGAGGCAGGCGGAAUGCGUGGUGUAGCGGUGAAAUGCUUAGAUAUCACGCAGAACCCCGAUUGCGAUGGCAGCCUGCCAAGCCAUGACUGACGCUGAUGCACGAAAGCGUGGGGAUCAAACAGGAUUAGAUACCCUGGUAGUC
RNAcentral lists this ribosomal RNA (460 nucleotides) under uncultured bacterium. RNAcentral's name for it is "partial 16S ribosomal RNA". It matches the Rfam family "Bacterial small subunit ribosomal RNA", at positions 338 to 795 of the family's 1533-position model. The record is from RNAcentral.